UUGGUCGUGCUCGCCCUGCUCGUCGGUCGUGCUCGCCCUGCUCGCCUCUGCGCCCUGCGGUCGAUUGGGGAUCUCGUCGCCUCGUCGGUCGUGCUCGGACUGCUCGCCUCUGCGCCCUGCUCGUCGGUCGUGCUCGCCCUGCUCGUCAGUCGUGCUCGGCUGCUCGCCUCUGCGCCCUGCGGUCGAUUGGGGAUCUCGUGCUCGGCUGCUCGCCCUGCUCGUCGCCUCGUCGGUCGUGCUCGGAGUCUCGGACUGCUCGCCUCUGCACCCUGCUCGUCGGUCGUGCUCGCCCUGCUCGUCAGUCGUCUCUGGUGCUCCGGCUUUGAAAGGUCCGUCUCUACUCUCUACUCAUUUACUGUCGUUAGCUUAAUUCUGUCGUUGUCUGUUUAA
This 390-nucleotide unclassified non-coding RNA is filed under the name Zea mays. RNAcentral describes it as "misc RNA Zm00001eb182760". The record is from RNAcentral. Lineage: Eukaryota; Viridiplantae; Streptophyta; Magnoliopsida; Poales; Poaceae.